RNAcentral lists this ribosomal RNA (319 nucleotides) under uncultured Paracercomonas. Its description in RNAcentral is "SSU rRNA". The stretch from base 100 to 319 matches the Rfam family "Eukaryotic small subunit ribosomal RNA", at positions 735 to 955 of the family's 1831-position model. The record is from RNAcentral. Lineage: Eukaryota; Cercozoa; Cercomonadida; Cercomonadidae.
GAUUUCUGGUAUGGUGCGCCUGGCCCACGGUUGCAAAACCGCGAGUGUCGGUGUGCGCCUGCCAUCUUUCUAGUUAACUGGACGCACUUAACUGGGCGGUCAGCGAUCUAGUUCUUUUACUUUGAAAAAAUUAGAGUGUUUAAAGCAGGCUUUUUGCUAUGAAUACAUUAGCAUGGAAUAAUAAUUUAGGACUUUGGCCCUAUUUUGUUGGUUUCUAGGACUGAAGUAAUGAUUGAUAGGGAUAGUUGGGGGUGCUCGAAUUCAGCGGCCAGAGGUGAAAUUCUUGGAUUCGCUGAAGACGAACUCAUGCGAAAGCAUU